Molecule: ribosomal RNA, 484 nt
Filed under: uncultured bacterium
Lineage: Bacteria
Description: partial 16S ribosomal RNA
Rfam family: Bacterial small subunit ribosomal RNA
Source: RNAcentral
AUUGAACGCUGGCGGCAGGCCUAACACAUGCAAGUCGAGCGGAUGAAGGGAGCUUGCUCCUGGAUUCAGCGGCGGACGGGUGAGUAAUGCCUAGGAAUCUGCCUGGUAGUGGGGGAUAACGUCCGGAAACGGGCGCUAAUACCGCAUACGUCCUGAGGGAGAAAGUGGGGGAUCUUCGGACCUCACGCUAUCAGAUGAGCCUAGGUCGGAUUAGCUAGUUGGUGGGGUAAAGGCCUACCAAGGCGACGAUCCGUAACUGGUCUGAGAGGAUGAUCAGUCACACUGGAACUGAGACACGGUCCAGACUCCUACGGGAGGCAGCAGUAGGGAAUAUUGGACAAUGGGCGAAAGCCUGAUCCAGCCAUGCCGCGUGUGUGAAGAAGGUCUUCGGAUUGUAAAGCACUUUAAGUUGGGAGGAAGGGCAGUGAGUUAAUACCUCGCUGUUUUGACGUUACCAACAGAAUAAGCACCGGCUAACUUCGUG